This 94-nucleotide transfer RNA is filed under the name Chloroflexota bacterium. Its description in RNAcentral is "tRNA-Gly". Lineage: Bacteria; Bacillati; Chloroflexota. The record is from RNAcentral.
GGGGGCUGUUGGAGUGGACGGUCGUCAUGCUGCCGUCAUGGCCGGUGUUCAUCGCUUGCAGCAUGUCCAGUGUUUCGCCGCUGCGGCACUCGCC